Molecule: ribosomal RNA, 549 nt
Filed under: Bacillus licheniformis
Lineage: Bacteria; Bacillati; Bacillota; Bacilli; Caryophanales; Bacillaceae
Description: bacterial SSU rRNA
Rfam family: Bacterial small subunit ribosomal RNA
Source: RNAcentral
ACGUGGGUAACCUGCCUGUAAGACUGGGAUAACUCCGGGAAACCGGGGCUAAUACCGGAUGCUUGAUUGAACCGCAUGGUUCAAUCAUAAAAGGUGGCUUUUAGCUACCACUUGCAGAUGGACCCGCGGCGCAUUAGCUAGUUGGUGAGGUAACGGCUCACCAAGGCAACGAUGCGUAGCCGACCUGAGAGGGUGAUCGGCCACACUGGGACUGAGACACGGCCCAGACUCCUACGGGAGGCAGCAGUAGGGAAUCUUCCGCAAUGGACGAAAGUCUGACGGAGCAACGCCGCGUGAGUGAUGAAGGUUUUCGGAUCGUAAAACUCUGUUGUUAGGGAAGAACAAGUACCGUUCGAAUAGGGCGGUACCUUGACGGUACCUAACCAGAAAGCCACGGCUAACUACGUGCCAGCAGCCGCGGUAAUACGUAGGUGGCAAGCGUUGUCCGGAAUUAUUGGGCGUAAAGCGCGCGCAGGCGGUUUCUUAAGUCUGAUGUGAAAGCCCCCGGCUCAACCGGGGAGGGUCAUUGGAAACUGGGGAACUUGAGUG